CUUUGAUCUACCCAUUUUACUUAAAUCUCAACAUCUAGAGUUAACAUUUUAUUGAUGAGGUUUUUUUCUUCUUCUUGGUUUAUAAAGAUCGAACUUCUCCAUUAUUUUAAAUUGAACUCAUUACUUUUUCCUAUUUUUAAUGCAAUUUAAUAUCACACCAGACUUAGGACAGACGCAGGAGUACAUAACACUCUUUCUUUUGAAUUUUGAACUUUUGUUUACAGAAACUUCUGAAUAUCCUUUUACAAGCUGGAGGCCAUCAGGUUCUAGCAGCAGCCCAAAAUUCAGUUAUCUGAACUCUGAAGAAUAAUACUACAGCUCUAUAGGAACUUCUCGACGCAUGUAUUUGUGACCUCGUCAGCUUUGACAGGCAGCUGCGCGAGCAUGCUCCUGGCAGCAGUGCUCCUCAUGUUUUGGGGAUUCGAGCUGGCUCGCAUGGUUUACCUAAUAGCAACACACAGGAGCACGCGCGCACUGCAGUCCACACAUGUUGAGCAACACUGCAUACUUAACUGAAGAUGUCUGCACACGCACGACAUGUCGACACGCAUACUUAACUAAAGUUGGCUUGCUGAAAAUCGACACAGAGGACUGCAGCCAUGCUAAUUACCACUGAAAAUGGCCAGCCAUACUAAUUACUGCACAAAAUGGUGAAGAAUAGUUGACCGUGUGCAGCCAUACUAUUUUUCUUGAGCAUAUGAAUGAACAUGUAGACAUUCAACUAUAGAAAACCAUCUCUAUCUAUUGGAAAUGACAUCCAACCAAAAACAAAAUUGACUAAUUACUCCCAAAAGCACCAGAAAUCAAUAAAAAUUGAGAGGAUAAAUAAACAGAGUAGUUCAGGACAGCAAGCAAUUUCUCCCAAAUUGGGGCUUUUCUGUUUUUGGACCAAGUUGACACACGCAUGGGAGGAGGAGGCUCACCACCACCGGGGAAGAUCCUCGAUGAAGGAAACUACCAUGAGGAAGGUUAGGAGGCAACGCCGGGCAAGAGAAAGGCAGCGGCCGGUGCGUGAGGAGAGGAAGAUGGCAGACACGAAGUCUGGGCUGGACGCCUCUCCGUACUCGAUGGCUGGCGGCGGCUCAAAUCCCCUAUGCUGCGGUUCAAACACACCUGUGGAGGAAGGUAAAAGUGGUGGCCGUCGCUGGUAGCGGUGGGUCGAGGUGUGCGCGAGCAUCACAAGAUGUAGUGCGCGAAGGGAACAAGGCUGCAUGCCUCCACCGCGCCGGAGCUUGCAUCCAGAACGAGAUGUCGUCGAGCAUGGGAUACCUGUGUCGAUGGAGUCAUGGGGAGGCCCAGACUACAUCAUCUGGAGAAGUGAUUUUCAUUCCUUUUCUAUGAACUUUCUACUUUAGCUUCUUUCUUUAGUAAAUCACAACUCAGUACUGUUAAUAGUACUAGUAGCGGCUACACUAGUUUUGGAGAAAGAUCAAGUUGCCGCAACAUAGGCUACUACAUGUUGGGCAGAAACAAAUUGAACUUCAAAAUGGACAGGAGGUGGAUGACACCGGACGGGAUAAUGGCAUGUAGUAGAAUGGUCGCGCUGGAAGCAGAGGAGGCUGCCUCCGCCGUGGAUCAAGGGGGAGGGAGGCCUCCGUUGUGGUUCCAGGGGAGUGACGCCGCCGCCGCCAUGGAUCCAGGGGAGGGAGGCGCUGUACAGAGGCAGGGAGGCCGUCGCCGCGGUAGAUCGAGGAGGGGGGCGGGGCGAGCCGGUGGUCGGCGGUGGUGGAAUGGGCGUCGGGCAGCGUACCGAUUCAGGAAACUCGGCGUCGGUGGCGAGCUCGGAGACGACAGCGAUGGCGCGUGGGAUCUAGGGCUGACGUCUGUGCAUGGGAUCCAGCCCGGCGGCGGGGGCGGCGGCGCCUGGGGUUGCCGAGGGCAGGGGUGGCUGGGGUUUCCGGGGGCGGCGGUGCGCAGGGUCAGGGGCGGCGACGGUUGGGUAGUCCCCUGCGGCGGGUGGGUCUGAGGAUCAAGGGGAGAGUGAUAGCGCCGGAGAUGGGGGGCGGUUGGUCAGGCUUUUUUCUUCUUCUUUGAGAUCUCGGGAACAAUUUGCUCGCCCCUAUAGGCGCUCAGUCAUUCAAACAGUUAUUCUAAUUUUAGAAUUAGAAUAAUGUUGUUAUAUAUAUAUAUGGGACAACAUUAUUCUAAUUCUGAAAUUAAAAUAGUUAUUUGGAUCACGGCUCUUUAUAUAGCGCACGAAGAGGCGUUCCCGAACUUCCGAAGCCACGGAGAAAAAUAAAUAAGAAAACCCACCCAGUCCCGCACCUCCCGCACCACCCCAUCCCCUUCCUCGAGAACCAGCCACCGGUCCGCCACCGGUCCUAAAUCCGGCCGCCGCGCAGCUCCCUCCCCGGGAUCCGGCCGCCGCGACACCACCUCCCCCGGAUCCGGCCACCGGACCGCCUCCUUCCCCCGGAUCCGGCCGGGAUUGAUCCCACCGCCGCCUGCCACCACCAAGCACUGGCGUGCGACCCCGGCGCCGCCUCCCUCUAUGAAGCGCCGGCGCCCGACCCCGUCACCUACCUCUGGUACGCCGUCGCGCCUCCGCUGCCACCUAGGGUGCCCCUGACAUCGCCCAGCUCCUCCUCACACGACGACCCCCUGCGACGCACGCCUCCUCGAUGUUCUGCCCCGGACAUGGGCGCCUCCCCGUCCACCCUCCGGCGACCGAAACCAGCUCCGCCCGCCGUAGCAGAGGACAUGCCCCGUUCGUGGACUCCCCUCCCCUCCGCCCGGGUGCGACCUGCCCUGCGCUCUGGCGCGGCCUGCCCUCCCCUCUGGUGCGACCUGCUCUCUGGUACGGCCCGCCCUCCUCCAGCGCGCCUGCACUCUGCUCCGUCGGCGCAACGACCGAGCACUAGACCUCCCUCCUCUCUCCCACUAGGACGGCAGUGUAGUUUGCAGGAAAAAUAAAAGAAACCGCUUUCUACAUGCAAAAGGGCAUCAAGUUUUGGAAGAAGUAUGGUGUUGAAUGAAAAAAUGAGGAAAAAAGGAUCCUCAAGCAAAUCAAGCAAUGGAAAUCUUCCUUGGUGGAGCUAGUAAUGCAAAGCUGCAAAGCUUCAGUUUUAUGUAAUCUUGGCUAAAUUGUGAUAAUUUUAUGUUGCUAUGAACCUCUGCUGUACUGUUAAGAUUGAACUUUUCACAAAGUCCUAUGUUGAAGCUCCUCCUUCUGUUUUUCAUUUAUGUGUACUUCUACGGUUCAAUUUAAUGCAAACCAUUUUUGUA
Triticum urartu is the source of this 3225-nucleotide non-coding RNA. NCBI's taxonomy places the organism in Eukaryota, Viridiplantae, Streptophyta, Magnoliopsida, Poales, Poaceae. The record is from RefSeq and is a predicted model, not a curated record.